CCUACGUGAGGCAGCAGUGAGGAAUAUUGGUCAAUGGGCGCGAGCCUGAACCAGCCAAGUAGCGUGAAGGAUGACUGCCCUACGGGUUGUAAACUUCUUUUAUAAAGGAAUAAAGUGAGGUACGUGUGCCUUUUUGUAUGUACUUUAUGAAUAAGGAUCGGCUAACUCCGUGCCAGCAGCCGCGGUAAUACGGAGGAUCCGAGCGUUAUCCGGAUUUAUUGGGUUUAAAGGGAGCGUAGAUGGGUUGUUAAGUCAGUUGUGAAAGUUUGCGGCUCAACCGUAAAAUUGCAAUUGAUACUGGCAGUCUUGAGUACAGUUGAGGUAGGCGGAAUUCGUGGUGUAGCGGUGAAAUGCUUAGAUAUCACGAAGAACUCCGAUUGCGAAGGCAGCUUACUAAACUGCCACUGACAUUGAUGCUCGAAAGUGUGGGUAUCAAACAAGAUUAGAUACCCUAGUAGUC
This 460-nucleotide ribosomal RNA is filed under the name uncultured bacterium. RNAcentral describes it as "partial 16S ribosomal RNA". It matches the Rfam family "Bacterial small subunit ribosomal RNA", at positions 338 to 795 of the family's 1533-position model. The record is from RNAcentral.